RNAcentral lists this ribosomal RNA (467 nucleotides) under uncultured bacterium. RNAcentral's name for it is "partial 16S ribosomal RNA". It matches the Rfam family "Bacterial small subunit ribosomal RNA", at positions 28 to 506 of the family's 1533-position model. The record is from RNAcentral.
GACGAACGCUGGCGGCGUGCUUAACACAUGCAAGUCGAACGGAAAGGCCCUGCUUUUGUGGGGUGCUCGAGUGGCGAACGGGUGAGUAACACGUGAGUAACCUGCCCUUGACUUUGGGAUAACUUCAGGAAACUGGGGCUAAUACCGGAUAGGAGCUCCUGCUGCAUGGUGGGGGUUGGAAAGUUUCGGCGGUUGGGGAUGGACUCGCGGCUUAUCAGCUUGUUGGUGGGGUAGUGGCUUACCAAGGCUUUGACGGGUAGCCGGCCUGGGAGGGUGACCGGCCACAUUGGGACUGGGAUGCGGCCCAGACUCCUUCGGGAGGCAACAGUGGGGAAUAUUGCACAAUGGGCGGAGGCCUGAUGCAGCAACGCCGCGUGCGGGAUGACGGCCUUCGGGUUGUAAACCGCUUUCGCCUGUGACGAAGCGUGAGUGACGGUAAUGGGUAAAGAAGCACCGGCUAACUACGU